UUAUCGGUUGCUUUGUUUUGGUACAGCCAACUUGCGCGUGGUGAUAGUAUCGGCUUUCGAAAAGUACACAUCUGUUAUUAAAACAUUAAAAAGUACACAAUCGAGUUGGGUGUUAAAUUACACCGGAACCCAAUUUAAAGUCCAUUGAAAGGCUUCUAAUUUGCUCAAACAGCUAGAAAGUGAAAUUCGAUGCGAUACAUAAAAUCGCCCACCCAAACACCAACACAACAUCGAAGCAAAACAAACGAUCGGAUGAAUGAUUUUCCAUAAUAUUUUGUUAUGCUCGAGGGGAGUUUGUGUUGCGACGCAAUAAAAAGGCAUCGAGAAGUCUGCACUGCACAAACCAUAGCAACCAGUAUAGCACGCACACACUCAAUUCCACCAGCCAACUUCGUUUACAACUCCCGGUGUAAUCACUUCCACACACUCGAAAUAUUUGACACAGUUUGUGUUCCAUUCGCCGCAUGGCCCUGUGCCGUUCGAUUCGGUUCGAGCAAAGCGGUAGUGCUCUGGAAGGUUACUAGUGAGAGCGCACUCCCAUCGGUCACGUAGACAGAACAAAAUUUGUUUUUUGUGUCUACUUUUUGCAUUAGAAAACAUUACCAGUACAUGUUAGUGCGUAAUAAUCAGUUUAUUCACAGUUACAAGUGUGAUUCCGAGGACAAUCCUUGUGGUAAACACAAACAUUGGAUCGAUUUCUGGCAUAGCCCACCAAACACUGGCACCGGUUGAUCGUCCUCAUAGCCAGCGUUGCCAGGUAUCCAGAUUUAGCUGGAUUAUCCAGAUUUUUGAACAUGUAUCCAGAUUUUUGAAAAAAUGACCUGGCAACGCUGCUCAUAGCACACAGCUGGCCAUAGGUUCCACAAGAUUUCCCACACGGUCUACCGAUACGACGAAAGGUUUCAUUAGCGGGACAAUCCUGAGCUAGAGAACAAAGAAAAAACGGCAUUGAAGUUCAAAGCGAAUCACACUUUUUCAAUCACCUACGAAGAACCGUUUCUUCCGGAAGUAGAAAGCGACUGCCGAAACUGCGCCACCAUAAAUACGCUGCGACGUGAGGUGCGUUGAAGAAGUUACUGCACAGCAGAAAAAGCACCAACGGAAACGUGGCUGACAACAUUUCCCUCGAUUGUUACUCACUGUGACUGUCACAAAGAAACUAAAUUUAGCUGGCAAAGUUCUCCCAAGUUUGACCAAAUCAUUUUGGUGUAGUUAAUAGUUUAAUCAUUUUCCCAUUAGCACCAUCGGUGGAAGUUUAUUUCUGUUACAAAACCUAAAUUAAUCCACCUAGCGGUCAGACCCAGCCUUUCUCAUUCAAACUUGUUAUUUGUAAAAAUAGAUUUACAUGGACGCUUCAAUCCAAUUAAAGUAUAUUCACUCUUUAGGUUCUAAAAUAUUGAUGUUGUAAUGGAUACAUAUAAUAAGAAAUUUGACGUAAUGUUAGUGCUUAAGAAAUAGCGAAAUAAAA
Molecule: long non-coding RNA, 1468 nt
Organism: Wyeomyia smithii (pitcher-plant mosquito)
Lineage: Eukaryota; Metazoa; Arthropoda; Insecta; Diptera; Culicidae
Exons: 3
Source: RefSeq, a predicted model, not a curated record